UCGACUUGGAGGUUGUUCCCUUGAGGAGUGGCUUCCGGAGCUAACGCGUUAAGUCGACCGCCUGGGGAGUACGGCCGCAAGGUUAAAACUCAAAUGAAUUGACGGGGGCCCGCACAAGCGGUGGAGCAUGUGGUUUAAUUCGAUGCAACGCGAAGAACCUUACCUACUCUUGACAUCCAGCGAACUUUCCAGAGAUGCAUUGGUGCCUUCGGGAACGCUGAGACAGGUGCUGCAUGGCUGUCGUCAGCUCGUGUUGUGAAAUGUUGGGUUAAGUCCCGCAACGAGCGCAACCCUUAUCCUUUGUUGCCAGCGAUUCGGUCGGGAACUCAAAGGAGACUGCCGGUGAUAAACCGGAGGAAGGUGGGGAUGACGUCAAGUCAUCAUGGCCCUUACGAGUAGGGCUACACACGUGCUACAAUGGCGCAUACAAAGAGAAGCGACCUCGCGAGAGCAAGCGGACCUCACAAAGUGCGUCGUAGUCCGGAUCGGAGUCUGCAACUCGACUCCGUGAAGUCGGAAUCGCUAGUAAUCGUGGAUCAGAAUGCCACGGUGAAUACGUUCCCGGGCCUUGUACUCCCCGCCCGUCA
RNAcentral lists this ribosomal RNA (587 nucleotides) under Enterobacterales bacterium. RNAcentral's name for it is "bacterial SSU rRNA". It matches the Rfam family "Bacterial small subunit ribosomal RNA", at positions 812 to 1399 of the family's 1533-position model. The record is from RNAcentral. Lineage: Bacteria; Pseudomonadati; Pseudomonadota; Gammaproteobacteria; Enterobacterales.